GCACGCGCAGUCACCACAAUCACCUUCCGGGUCCAAGUGCGGCGUUCGCGUCUCCACGCUCUGCGCGUGCCUGCGUGGGGGGCUUAGGCGGCCACAGAGAGCCCUCAGGUGAGGAAAUGCAGUUCCAGGUGGAGUGGAAGUAAGACCUGAAAAUUACUCCUGAAUAUUUUUAUCUCCUGGCAUCCUGUUCCAAUGAGUUUGUGAAAGCUGGACAACAUGGUGUUCUAUCAAGAAAAUGUCUAUGAGGG
Mustela lutreola (European mink) is the source of this 248-nucleotide long non-coding RNA. RefSeq lists it as uncharacterized. The transcript is spliced from 3 exons. NCBI's taxonomy places the organism in Eukaryota, Metazoa, Chordata, Mammalia, Carnivora, Mustelidae. The record is from RefSeq and is a predicted model, not a curated record.